This is a long non-coding RNA of Mustela erminea (ermine), 386 nucleotides long. RefSeq lists it as uncharacterized. The record is from RefSeq and is a predicted model, not a curated record. Lineage: Eukaryota; Metazoa; Chordata; Mammalia; Carnivora; Mustelidae. The transcript is spliced from 3 exons.
GCCUGCAACAUACAGGAUGCAUGUUACAUAAGAAAUGGCUUAUAUGACUCUUACUCCAGAGAUCAGGCCAGCGUCAGUGUCCUGGGGCUGCCAUCACAAGGUACGCCAACCUGUAUGGCUUAAAACAACAGAAACUGAUUCUCUCACGGUACUGGAAGCUACAAGUCUGAGAUCAAGGAAAGCUACCUAGGGUUGAAUAUCCAUCCAAAAGCUCUUCGUUAUCAAGAAAAGGCAUUUAAAAGGCAGUACUUAAGGAGGGGAAAACAAGGUUUUCCAAAAUAGAAAUCUGAGAGAUUUUCAAGCAGCACAGACCGCACGUGGGAAGAAGAGCAGGGACAACAUCACAGACUUUCUCUCGGAAGGAACAUGGUGGUUGGUUCACUGGG